CUGGAGUUCCUGAUGAGGAAGUGAUAAAGAGCGAGCGAGCUAGCAGGGGCCGCCAUGCAGCAGCAAGCUGCACAUGCACAACUGGAGUUCAAAGUCUGAGUACAGAUGUUGACGGAAGUUGACCUUCGACCAAAACCUGUGCAUUCAGAAAGUACCGACCACAGCUUCCUCCCUGCAGAUGACUGUAGCCUGACACUGCUCCCUCACAGAGACCACCUAUGGAGAUAAGCUGAGCCAUCUCUUCAUCCGUGCUGUAUAUCAUAAACACAUUGAGCUUCAGGACUACUGCUUGUAUGUCUCCAUCUGAGUACAUGGCCACUGGGUCCCAGCCUUACAUAAUUUAUAUCUAUCUUAUUCUUCAUGGCCCCCAGUCUGAUCAAGACCAAAGCCAUGUGGGUUUCUGCGGGAAGUCCUUUCUAAAGGGAGUCAAGGGUGGUAGCAUACUGAUAAUAUUGACAGAUGAUCACCAUUCCUAAGCAUGAUCAAUCCACCUCCUGCCUUCUAGACUCAGUGAUGGGGGAGAAGGCCAGGGCUCCUCUGGCAUCAGAUAAUCAGGAAGGGGUUUGAGAUAGCUGCCUUGUGUUUCCAGG
RNAcentral lists this long non-coding RNA (590 nucleotides) under Mus musculus (house mouse). The record is from RNAcentral. Lineage: Eukaryota; Metazoa; Chordata; Mammalia; Rodentia; Muridae.